Molecule: ribosomal RNA, 497 nt
Filed under: uncultured bacterium
Lineage: Bacteria
Description: partial 16S ribosomal RNA
Rfam family: Bacterial small subunit ribosomal RNA
Source: RNAcentral
AGUGAACGCUGGCGGUAUGCCUAACACAUGCAAGUCGAGCGGCAGCACAGUAAGAGCUUGCUCUUACGGGUGGCGAGUGGCGGGCGGGUAAGGAAUACAUCGGCAUCUACUUUUUCGUGGGUGAUAACGUAGGACAACUUCUGCUAAUACCUCAUACUACCUACCGCUUGAAUCAUGAGUGCUUCGCGCCUUUCCCGUUUCAUUUAGACGGUUUCGUGUUGCAUUAGCUAGUUGGUAAGGUAACGGCUUACCAAGGCGACGAUGCGUAGCUGAUCUGAGAGGAUGAUCAGCCACACUGGAACUGAGACACGGUCCAGACUCCUACGGGAGGCAGCAGUGGGGAAUAUUGGACAAUGGGCGAAAGCCUGAUGCAGCAAUACCGCGUGGGUGAAGAAGGUCUUCGGGUUGUAAAGCCCUUUUGUUGGGAAAGAAAAGCAGCAGGUUAAAACCCCGCUGUUCUGACGGUACCUAAAGAAUAAGCCCCGGCUAACUUCGUG